GUGGGGUAAUGGCCUACCAAGGCUUCGACGGGUAGCUGGUCUGAGAGGAUGAUCAGCCACACUGGAACUGAGACACGGUCCAGACUCCUACGGGAGGCAGCAGUGGGGAAUCUUGCACAAUGGGCGAAAGCCUGAUGCAGCGAUGCCGCGUGCGGGAAGAAGGCCUUAGGGUUGUAAACCGCUUUCAGGAGGGAAGAAAAUGACGGUACCUCCAGAAGAAGGUGCGGCCAACUACGUGCCAGCAGCCGCGGUGACACGCAGGCACCAAGCGUUAUCCGGAUUUAUUGGGCGUAAAGAGCUCGUAGGCGGUUUGGUAAGUCGGGUGUGAAAACUCUGGGCUCAACCCAGAGAGGCCACUCGAUACUGCUAUGACUAGAGUACGGUAGGGGAGCGGGGAAUUCCUGGUGUAGCGGUGAAAUGCGCAGAUAUCAGGAGGAACACCAGCGGCGAAGGCGCCGCUCUGGGCCGUAACUGACGCUGAGGAGCGAAAGCAUGGGUAGCAAACAGGAUUAGAUACCCUGGUAGUCCAUGCCGUAAACGUUGGGCACUAGGUGUGGGUCUCAACCAACGAGAUCCGCGCCGUCGCUAACGCAUUAAGUG
RNAcentral lists this ribosomal RNA (600 nucleotides) under uncultured Actinomycetes bacterium. RNAcentral describes it as "bacterial SSU rRNA". It matches the Rfam family "Bacterial small subunit ribosomal RNA", at positions 252 to 866 of the family's 1533-position model. The record is from RNAcentral. Lineage: Bacteria; Bacillati; Actinomycetota; Actinomycetes.